This is a non-coding RNA of Salmo salar (Atlantic salmon), 8289 nucleotides long. The record is from RefSeq and is a predicted model, not a curated record. NCBI's taxonomy places the organism in Eukaryota, Metazoa, Chordata, Actinopteri, Salmoniformes, Salmonidae.
CCGCAGUGUUGUCCCGACCCAGUCUGUUAGUAUAGAGUUGGUUUAGCCAUCAUUUCCCUGUCCUCUCUGCAACCCGCCCGCAGUGUUGUCCCGACCCAGUCUGUUAGUAUAGAGUUGGUAUCCCCAUCAUGUCCCUGUCCUCUCUGCAACCCGCCCGCAGUGUUGUCCCGACCCAGUCUGUUAGUAUAGAGUUGGUUUAGCCAGCGUUCGCCGGAGUCCAAAUCUGACUGUAAUUUUCAUAUCUUCCCUCCGUGGAGGCUUGACGAAUUAUCCAGCCCACCUUGGAUUUCUUUGGAAUAAACAUUUCUUAAGGAAUACACUAUUCAUGUCAAUGCUUCAACAUGCAGCCCCCACCGAGAAAGGUCAAAGUAACUCAGGAGCUGAAGAAUUGUCACAUAGAGCAGAUGACCAGACUGCACCUCAAACAUCAGACAGAGUGUGACCUGUUGGAGGACAUGAGGGCAUACAGUCUGAAGAAGGGCCAGUUGGAGAGGGACUAUGUCCAGGCUCUGCAGAAGCUGGCCAGUCAGUACCUGAAGAGGGAUUGGCCAGGUAUCAAACCAGACGGACAAAUCACAGACUACAGGAAUGUGUAUGCUGUGUGGCGGUCCUAUCUGAAGGGGACAGUACAGGUUACCCAGUCUCGCAUCAACGUGUGUGACAACUACAAGAAUGAGAUCUCAGAUCCUGCUAAAACUGUACGGCUAUACAAGGAACAGCAGCUCAACAAGAGUAUAGAACAGUUGAAUCGUAUCCAGGUGGAGCUGCAGGACUCUGUGAAAGACCUGGCCAAAGCCAAGAAGAAAUACUUCGACUCAGAACAGGUGGCUCAGGCCGUUCGAGAGAAGGCUGACAUCGAGGCCAAGUCGAAGCUAGGUCUGUUUCAGUCCAGGAUUAGUUUACAGAAAGCCAACGUUAAGUUGAAAGCCAAGAGGAGUGACUGUAACUCUAAAGCAACCCAUGCCAGGAAUGACUACCUGUUAACCCUGGCAGCAGCUAACGCUCACCAUGACCGCUACUACCAUACAGACCUGCUGCACUGUAUACAGGAGUUGGAUGGAGGGAUAUAUAACCAUGUGAAGGACUAUCUGAUCUCUAUCUGUCAGACAGAGCUGGAGGCCUUUCAGGCCAUACACAACACCUUCCAGUUCCUGCUGGACAAAUCCACCCGGGUGAUGCAGGAGUUUAACCAGCAGCUGUUCAUGCAGGAGAACCCUGUGUUUCAUAAAGCACAAGACUUCCAGUUCCAACCCAGCGACUGUGACACGACUCUGAGCUCAGUGCAGAAGUUGGUGGACAUUGAGCCUUCGCCCAUCAGUGUCAUGAGGAUGACGCUGGCACAGAGUCGUAAGUUGGAGACAGACACGGGGAGCCCGAGAGAGGAGCACAGUCUGAACAAGGAGGCCAGGAAGUGGGCAACCAGAAUGGCCCGAGAACACAAGAACAUCAUCCACUACAAGAGAAGCCUGGAGGAAUGUGAGACACUGGGAGUCCCUCAAACAGAGCAGGGCCGGCUUGAUCUGGAGCUGAAGAUAGAGGAUACCAAAGAGAACAUCCGCAAGGCUGAGACAGUAAAGCUGAAGGCAGAGGCUCGUCUGGACCUGCUGAGACAGGUGGGCGUUGCCGUGGAUACCUGGCUGAAGAGCGCCAUGAACCAGGUGAUGGAGGAGCUUGAGAAUGAGCGCUGGGCUACACUAAACUACACUACCCACGAUCCCUCACUCUCGGGCCCAGUUGAUCUGGAGCGGUCGGAGGGGGAGGAGUGUGAGGAGAACAUGGAGGUGUUUGACGACAGCAGCUCCAGCCCCUCUGGGACUCUCAGGAACUACCCACUCACCUGCAAAGUCCUCUAUUCAUACAAGGCAUCUCAGCCAGAUGAGUUGAGUAUAGAGGAGCAUGAGAUGUUGGAGGUGAUAGAGGAUGGAGACAUGGAGGACUGGGUCAAGGCGAGGAGUAAGACAGGGCUGAUUGGCUACGUCCCAGAGAAGUAUCUUCAGUUCCCCACCUCUAGCAGUCUACUGAGCAUGCUCCAGUCUCUCGCUGCGCUGGACACACGCUCACACACCUCCUCCAACUCCACCGAGCCAGAGAUACACACAGGCAGCAUCAACGGAGACGCCAGCUUGAGUUUUGUGAGGGCGCUGUAUGACUACGAUGGUCAGGCGGAUGAGGAGCUGUCCUUCCCAGAGGGGGCUGUCAUCCGUCUGCUUAACAGAGACACCCAAACGGACGAUGGCUUCUGGGAGGGAGAGUUCAACGGUCGAGUGGGAGUCUUCCCUUCUGUACUGGUGGAGGACCUCACGGAGAGCAGAGAGAACAGAGCAGACACACUGAUCUCUCCAUCUUCGAGGCUGCCCUCCUCGUUGCCCCCCCUCCCUCUGUAUGACCAGCCCCCCUGCAGCCCCUACGCCACCCCAGACACCCCUACCCCUCCGCCCCUCCCUCGAUCACCCUCUGUCAAUGGGGAACACAAGCCACCUCCCACAACGUACAAGGGACCCACUCACAAUCAUAGUCCAGUGUCUCCAGAGUUCUCCCAGCCCUCCCGGUUCACUCCCGACGGAGGCAUGAGCAAAAUACGACCUGUCCGUGCAGCACCUCCGCCCCCCAAGCAGAAACCUCGCAAACAGACAGAGAAGACUGAGGAGGUGGAGAUCACACUGGUGUGACAGACAGACAGAGAAGACUGAGGAGGUGGAGAUCACACUGGUGUGACAGACAGACAGAAGACUGAGGAGGUGGAGAUCACACUGGUGUGACAGACAGACAGAGAAGACUGAGGAGGUGGAGAUCACACUGGUGUGACAGACAGACAGAGAAGACUGAGGAGGUGGAGAUCACACUGGUGUGACAGACAGACAGAGAAGACUGAGGAGGUGGAGAUCACACUGGUGUGACAGACAGACAGAGAAGACUGAGGAGGUGGAGAUCACACUGGUGUGACAGACAGACAGAGAAGACUGAGGAGGUGGAGAUCACACUGGUGUGACAGACAGACAGAGAAGACUGAGGAGGUGGAGAUCACACUGGUGUGACAGACAGACAGAGAAGACUGAGGAGGUGGAGAUCACACUGGUGUGACAGACAGACAGAGAAGACUGAGGAGGUGGAGAUCACACUGGUGUGACAGACAGACAGAGAAGACUGAGGAGGUGGAGAUCACACUGGUGUGACAGACAGACAGACAGAAGACUGAGGAGGUGGAGAUCACACUGGUGUGACAGACAGACAGAAGACUGAGGAGGUGGAGAUCACACUGGUGUGACAGACAGACAGAGAAGACUGAGGAGGUGGAGAUCACACUGGUGUGACAGAGGGACAGCAGAGCACAGACCAGGAUGACUGAACUUUGAACUGGGCUUCACCUCUAAGCUUUGAACCCUGGAACUCCCCUUCACUCCCCCCUACCUCCCUCCACUGGGAAGAAACAUGGUUCUGUCUCCAAGCAACAAGGAGCAGAAGCCCCUCCAUCCCUCCUCACCCCUCCUCUUCCUCUGUGUCAGACUUUCUGUCUGUUGCCUUAACUUUUCUCUCAUCUGGCAGCCAUUGUGAAUGAAAGGAAUUCAACGGGAGGAGGAGGAAAAGGAGAAAUGCUGAGGUGGAGAGUUGCAAUGAGUUUUAUCUGCUAUCCAGUUCUGUCUAUUUGCAGUUUGACACACACACACACACGUCUUCUUCGCUUCAGUCUCUGAUGAACAGCGUGUGUUUGUAUCACUAAUAUUUAGUGAAUUGGAAGCGCAGUGCAGAGGAGACAGUGGACGUGCUGUAAGAGAUGGGGUUAAAUGUUUGGUGUUGUUCAGCUCUGGCUGUACCCUCUGUCAGGCUUCUGUUUAUCCUUCAGAUACCUGCUCAUCUUUCUCUCUGCUCUAUCACUGCUGGAGUCUGACUGAGUGGGAUGUUUUAGGUUGAGUGAGUGGGAUGUUUUAGGUUGAGUGGGUGGGAUGUUUUAGGUUGAGUGGGUGGGAUGUUUUAGGUUGAGUGGGUGGGAUGUUUUAGGUUGAGUGGGUGGGAUGUUUUAGGUUGAGUGGGUGGGAUGUUUUAGGUUGAGUGGGUGGGAUGUUUUAGGUUGAGUGAGUGGGAUGUUUUAGGUUGAGUGAGUGGGAUGUUUUAGGUUGAGUGAGUGGGAUGUUUUAGGUUGACUGAGUGGGAUGUUUUAGGUUGAGUGGGUGGGAUGUUUUAGGUUGAGUGGGUGGGAUGUUUUAGGUUGAGUGAGUGGGAUGUUUUAGGUUGAGUGGGUGGAAUGUUUUAGAUUGACUGAGUGGGAUGUUUUAGGUUGACUGGGUGGAAUGUUUUAGGUUGACUGAGUGGGAUGUUUUAGGUUGACUGAGUGGGAUGUUUUAGGUUGACUGGGUGGGAUGUUUUAGGUUGACUGAGUGGGAUGUUUUAGGUUGAGUGGGUGGGAUGUUUUAGGUUGAGUGGGUGGGAUGUUUUAGGUUGAGUGGGUGGGAUGUUUUAGGUUGAGUGGGUGGGAUGUUUUAGGUUGAGUGGGUGGGAUGUUUUAGGUUGAGUGGGUGGGAUGUUUUAGGUUGAGUGGGUGGGAUGUUUUAGGUUGAGUGGGUGGAAUGUUUUAGGUUGACUGAGUGGGAUGUUUUAGGUUGACUGGGUGGGAUGUUUUAGGUUGACUGGGUGGGAUGUUUUAGGUUGACUGAGUGGGAUGUUUUAGGUUGACUGAGUGGGAUGUUUUAGGUUGAGUGGGUGGGAUGUUUUAGGUUGAGUGGGUGGGAUGUUUUAGGUUGAGUGGGUGGGAUGUUUUAGGUUGAGUGGGUGGGAUGUUUUAGGUUGACUGAGUGGGAUGUUUUAGGUUGAGUGGGUGGGAUGUUUUAGGUUGACUGGGUGGGGAGACUGUAUUUAAUCGACUGAAUGAACGAACCCAGAGGUCCACCCGAAAAGAAGGGAGUAGAAGACAACAUCACCACAGAGGACAACGUAACCAGAGGAGAUGGACAACGUAACCAGAGGAGAUGGACCACAGAGGACAACGUAACCAGAGGAGAUGGACAACGUAACCAGAGGAGAUGGACCACAGAGGACAACGUAACCAGAGGAGAUGGACAACGUAACCAGAGGAGAUGGACAACGUAACCAGAGGAGAUGGACAACGUAACCAGAGGAGAUGGACAACGUAACCAGAGGAGAUGGACAACGUAACCAGAGGAGAUGGACCACAGAGGACAACGUAACCAGAGGAGAUGGACAACGUAACCAGAGGAGAUGGACCACAGAGGACAACGUAACCAGAGGAGAUGGACAACGUAACCAGAGGAGAUGGACAACGAACCAGAGGAGGACAACGUAACCAGAGGAGAUGGACAACGUAACCAGAGGAGAUGGACAACGUAACCAGAGGAGAUGGACAACGUAACCAGAGGAGAUGGACAACGUAACCAGAGGAGAUGGACCACAGAGGACAACGUAACCAGAGGAGAUGGACAACGUAACCAGAGGAGAUGGACCACAGAGGACAACGUAACCAGAGGAGAUGGACAACGUAACCAGAGGAGAUGGACAACGUAACCAGAGGAGAUGGACAACGUAACCAGAGGAGAUGGACAACGUAACCAGAGGAGAUGGACCACAGAGGACAACGUAACCAGAGGAGAUGGACAACGUAACCAGAGGAGAUGGACCACAGAGGACAACGUAACCAGAGGAGAUGGACAACGUAACCAGAGGAGAUGGACAACGUAACCAGAGGAGCUGCACCACAGAGGACAACGUAACCAGAGGAGAAGCUUUCUGUCAUAUUUUUUGUGUGUUCCUAUUUGAAGACUGGAGCCAUGCUUUUGUUAUUUAAACCAGGAAGUUUAUUUAGUUUCAAUAACCUUUGUUUUGUUGUGAUUCCACGUCCUACCCACUGACCACCUCAAACUAACAAUCAAUUAAACAAUCAAAUCACUUUGACUGAUAUGUUGACCACCUCUCUACUGAGCCCCUAAAGUUCCUGAUGAGGUAGAGCUCAGAAAUGGUCUGGUCUAACCUCUAACCUUUCAGUUUCACCCUUGAACUUUGACAUAUGAUGUCCUGUAGAUUUUGAAAGCCCUUCAGACUGAUUAAUCAGCUCCUAACAUAUCGCACAGCUAUUGGCUUGCACAUUUCAAACCUGCCACACUGAUAGGGUAUACUACUACACAAGAAACUACCGUAUAGAAGAUUCAACUACACUGAACAAAAAUACAAAACACAACAUGCAACAAUUUCAAAGAUUUUACUAACAGUUCAUAUAAGGAAAUCAGUCAAUUUAAAUACAUUUGUUAUGCCCUGAUAUAUGGAUUUCACAUGGCUGGGAAUACAGAUAUGCAUCUGUUGAUCACAGAUACCUUGGUCUGCAGUUGGAUAUACUGAGGCCAGUUGGACAUAGUGCCAAAUUCUAUCAAACGACUUUGGAGGAGACUUAUGGUAGAGAAAUUAAUAUUCAAUUCUCAGGCAACAGCUCUGGUGGACAUUCCUGCAGUCAGCACAGCACAUUUUAGAGUGGCCUUUUGUCCCCUGCACAAGGUGCACCUGUGUAAUGAUCAUGCUGUUUAAUCAGCUUCUUGAUAUGCCACACCUGUCAGGUGGAUGGAUUUUCCUGGCAAAGGAGAAAUGCUCACUAACAGAUUUGUAAGAAGAAAAAAAAUGCGUAAAAAGCUUUUUGUGUGUAUGGAACAUUUCUGGGAUCUUUUAUUUCAGCUAAUGAAACAUGGGACCAACACUUUACAUGUUGCACUUAUAUUUUGAUUCAGUGUAGACACCCUGUGGGGUUGUACCUUACCGUAGGUCAGUGUAGACACCCUGUGAGGUUCUACCUUACCGUAGGUCAGUGUAGACACCCUGUGAGGUUCUACCUUACCGUAGGUCAGUGUAGACACCCUGUGAGGUUCUACCUUACCGUAGGUCAGUGUAGACACCCUGUGGGGUUGUACCUUACCGUAGUUCAGUGUAGACACCCUGUGAGGUUGUACUUUACCGUAGGUCAGUGUAGACACCCUGUGGGGUUCUACCUUACCGUAGGUCAGUGUAGACACCCUGUGGGGUUGUACCUUACCGUAGUUCAGUGUAGACACCCUGUGAGGUUGUACUUUACCGUAGGUCAGUGUAGACACCCUGUGAGGUUGUACUUUACCGUAGGUCAGUGUAGACACCCUGUGAGGUUGUACUUUACCGUAGGUCAGUGUAGACACCCUGUGAGGUUGUACUUUACCGUAGGUCAGUGUAGACACCCUGUGAGGUUGUACUUUACCGUAGGUCAGUGUAGACACCCUGUGAGGUUGUACUUUACCGUAGGUCAGUGUAGACACCCUGUGAGGUUGUACUUUACCGUAGGUCAGUGUAGACACCCUGUGAGGUUGUACUUUACCGUAGGUCAGUGUAGACACCCUGUGAGGUUGUACUUUACCGUAGGUCAGUGUAGACACCCUGUGAGGUUGUACUUUACCGUAGGUCAGUGUAGACACCCUGUGAGGUUGUACAUUAUCCAUUACCAGCCCCUUCAAGCAGGCCUUCUUAAACCCAACCUAGGGAGACAUCAUAGCACUCGAUUUGUUUUAUUCACCUGUUUCUAUUUCUGUAGUUUUUUUAGUGUUGCUCUCUGAUUCUGGCUGCAUCUCCCUAACCUCGGGGCCCUAACCUCAGGGCCCUAACCUCGGGGCCCUAACCUCUGACCCUGUAUCGUGUUCUACAGAAGCCAGGGAACCAUUUGGUCUGCUACUUUAGAAUGAUGUUAUUAAAAAAAUACAAAUAAAGUUAUUUGAAUUAUGAAACAAUUGAAGGAAUAUUGAAUGAACCUUGGAGAUAAUGUGGAUUUGUUAGUUUUAGGUGGUGUGUGAGUUUUGAGUGAUUUAUAAUGCGAGGGGAGUUAGGAUACGGUCCUAUCUGUACUUGGCUAGUUUGGUCUGCUCUAAACAACACCCUCUCUGAGAUCUUUAUAAUGUUUCUCAAACUUGUUUAGAAGUUUCUGGUUUACAUCAACGUCCUCCAUCUUGUCAGAAAGCUGUUCUCACCCACAGAGCAAGCCAACACUUUAUUACAAUACGGGUGAUGUUACGGUUCAUCUCUCUGGCCAAAUACAGCUCUGUAAUCUCCCUGUGGAACAGUCCUGUGUCCCUGUAGGUUUAGUUUAUAGUUUUGAUUUGGAGAUGUUUCUGAGCUGCUAAAUCAGUGUAGUUGAACAACAGGUCUUCUCUUCUGACUUGCCACGGUGACAACAUUGAGAACAGGUGAAAAAUCCUUUCUGCAUAUUAUUAUUGGCUGUAAAAAAAAAAAAUGUGUUUGUGUACAAAUGUUCAAUAAUAAAACGGAUGGAAAAAUGCA